AGUAGUAGUAAAUGUAAUGCGACAAGGAGAAGGGAAAUAAAAGACAUCCAUCCUCCACAAAACUCAUCUUUUGAUGUUCACAAGCGAGAGUUGAAGGUGCAAAUUGUUGAUAUUAUAUGAAGGGCAAAAGGUGAAGAAAGAAUAAUGAAGGUGAAGGGAAUACUUGGAAAUCAAGAUUUGUGAGUGUAAUCGCUCAUAGUCACUAUGCGUGGUUUCAAACUGAAAGAUCGUUGUAAGACUACUCAAGUCCAUGCUUACAACGCUAACCCUUUUCCUACUAUUUCCCCAACUUCUUCCAAGCUCCAAUACCCUACAAUCGACUCCAUUUUGUCUGAAUCUCCUUUUCUUCCCUAUGGCCUUCCAAAAACACAUUCUUUUGAGCCCCCACUUGACCUUUCUCUCAAAUCUCUUGAUUUCGUUCAAUCCUUAGCUCACCUUUACCGCAAACUUCAGAUGACACAAGAUUUCGAUAAAUCUUUGCUUCAUUUAGAACAAUAUGCUCUGUUGUACACCCUUGGUGAUCCAAAAUUGCUACGUAGGUGUCUUCAAUCUGCUCGUCAACAUGCUGUUGACGUCCAUUCCAAGGUCGUGUUGUCUGCUUGGUUGAGGUUUGAGAGGAGAGAGGAUGAAUUGGUAGGAUCAUCACCUUUCGAUUGUAUUGGAAGAGUACUUGAAUGCCCCAAAACUGCUUUGCUACACGGCUAUGAUCCCAAAUCAGUUUUUGAUCAUUGCCAAUCUCAUGGGCCCCUCCAACCACCACCUAAUCAGAUCUCAGAUGCCAAUAAUUUCCUCACCUCAGAAAACGAUGGGGGCAUAGUUCACUUCUGCAUACAAAAUCAGGAGGUCAACUGUAUUCGAGGUAGAAUUGCAGCUCUCUCUGCUCCAUUAAAAUCAAUGUUGUAUGGUGAUUUCAUUGAGUCUGAGAAGGAAACAAUUGAUUUUACACACAUUGGCAUAUCUGUCGAUGGAAUGAGAGCUGUAGAUUCCUUUAGUAGGACUAGAAGAUUUGAUUCCUACCCACCGAACAUACUUCUCGAGCUUCUUUCAUUUGCAAACAGAUUCUGUUGUGAGGAACUCAAGUCUGCUAGUGAUUCAUACUUGGCUUCUUUGGUUUCUGAUAUUGAUGAGGCAUUCAUUCUAAUUGAUUAUGCUCUGGAUGAGAGAGCACCUCUGCUUGUGGCGUCUUGCUUGCAGCUAAUGCUAAGAGAGCUUCCCGGUUAUUUGUAUAAUCCAAAAGUUCUCUGCACAUUUUGUAGCUCUGAGGCUAGGGAGAAACUUGCCACAGUUGGGCAAGCUUCUUUCCUCUUAUAUUAUUUCCUUAGCCAGGUAGCAAUAGAAGAUAACAUGAUGUCCAAAGUUACGCUUAUGUUGUUGGAGAGAUUGAAGGAGUGUGCCACUGAAACAUGGCAAAAGGCACUAUCUAUGCAUCAACUUGGAUGUGUGUUGCUUGAAAGAAAGGAUUACAAAGAAGCUCAACAUUAUUUUGAGAUGGCAAUUGAGGCUGGCCAUGUUUAUUCAGUAGUAGGUGUUGCACGGACUAAAUUCAAGCAAGGGCAGAGGUUUUUGGCUUUUGAGCUAAUUAAUGGUAUUAUUUCAGAGUAUACACCUACGGGGUGGAUGUACCAAGAGAGGUCUUUGUACAGCUUAGGCAAACAAAAGAUUUUGGAUGUUAAUGAUGCCAGCAGAUUGGAUCCCGCCCUUCCUUUUCCGUACAAAUACAGAGCCAUUGUGAUGGUCGAAGAGGACCAGGUUGAGGCUGCUAUUGUGGAGAUAAAUCGAAUUAUUGGUUUUAAGGUCUCUCCAGACUGCCUUGAACUGCGGGCUUGGUGUUUUAUUGCACUUGAGGAUUAUCAAUCUGCUAUAAGAGAUAUCCGAGCAUUGUUGACUCUAGAGCCAAACUAUAUGAUGUUUCAUGGGAAAAUGAGGACUGACCACCUGGUUGAGCUUCUCAGUCUGCACGUCCAGCCGUGGAGCCCUGCAGAUUGCUGGAUGCAACUCUAUGAUCGAUGGUCAUCUGUUGAUGAUAUUGGUUCACUGGCUGUUAUACACCAGAUGCUCAUAAAUGAUCCUGGGAGGAGCAUUCUGCGAUUCAGACAAUCUCUGCUCCUAUUACGGUUAAAUUGUCAAAAAGCUGCAAUGCGCAGUUUGCGCCUGGCCUGGAAUCAUUCCACCUCCAAAUAUGAAAGGCUUGUGUACGAAGGAUGGAUUUUAUAUGACACUGGACAUCGUGAAGAAGCACUUGCCAAGGCUGAGGAAUCCAUUUCUCUCCAAAGGUCAUUCGAAGCCUUUUUCCUUAAAGCGUAUGCUCUAGCUGAUGCAACUCUGGAUUCUGAAUCUUCAUCUUAUGUCAUCCAACUGUUGGAGGAAGCACUAAAAUGUCCUUCAGAUGGUCUUCGCAAGGGACAAGCAUUAAAUAAUCUGGGGAGUAUUUACGUGGAUUGCAAUAAGCUGGACCUUGCUGCAGACUGCUAUGUCAGGGCCCUUGAGAUAAAACAUACAAGAGCUCAUCAAGGGUUAGCUCGUGUAUAUCAUCUAAAAGGUGAUCGGAAGUCUGCUUAUGAGGAAAUGACUAAGCUGAUAGACAAGGCUCAGAACAAGGCAUCAGCUUAUGAAAAACGGUCAGAGUAUUGUGAUCGUGACAUGGCAAAUGGUGAUCUCAGCAUGGCCUCACUAUUGGAUCCUUUAAGGACUUACCCUUAUAGAUACAGGGCUGCAGACGGUUUUCAAAUGGCUAUUUAAAGCCCUAUUAUUCUUGAUAAAAAUAUUGAGAGAUAUCUCAAUUAAUACUUUUUGCUGCCACAUCUUCUAAAAAACAAACAAUUAUACUUACAAAGAAGAUUGGGUUUCCAAUCCUUAGUAGAUGUAUCGGAGGACUUUUUUUGCUAAACUAUGGUUGAAUUUUUAACAUCCGCCUUCUCUCUAUGGAGCACUUCUAUAUGAAACAAAUACUGCUAGAAACUACAUCCCGACCAUUGCUGAAGAAACAUGUGCCUCUCAUGCGUAGAUAAAGAUGAUCCUUGUCAUGGAUGAGGUUGAGCAUAAUACUUGGUGGCAAGUGAAAUCAGCUACACCCAGUUUCUGGUUUGAUAACUGGACCAAACAAGGGGCACUAUACAUUCUGGAAGAAAAGAAUGCUGGGUAGGAAGAAUUUGAGGUAAGGAGUAUAAUUUCUAAUGUGGAGUUGAAUAGGCAGAAGCUGCUAAAUAACAUUUCAGUGGAAAUGACAGACCACAUCAUGGAUAGCAGCAGUUCAACCCUGUCAAUUCAAGGCCUGGUGGAUACAGAACACAAAAUUGUCUUUCACAAUAAAAAAUAUGCCUGUGAUUUGUUGAGGCAUAAAUAGCAAGCGAGGAGGGAUUAUGAGUUCAUAUGGGAAAAGGGCUUGCCGUUCAAAAUUGAUUUUUUCCUUUGGAGGGUAUGGAGGAGAAAGUAGCUUCUGAUGACAACCUAAAGAUGAUGAACAUUUGUAUUGCCUCUAGAUGUCGGUGUUGUGAUGCUCAUGAGCAGUAAACAAAAAUCCACCUAUUUCCAAAAGCUCCCGUAGUCACUGGGCUUUGGAAGUAGUUUGCUUCUGGUGCAUGUAUAUUUACAGAAGGGUCAGGGUUGCACCUCCAGAAACUCAAAAUUAAGUGGUGGAAACUGCAUGCUGCUCCAAAUUGCAGACAAUUUUCAAGGCUGUCCCAACAAUCAUCAUGUGGAUUUUAUGGAAGAAGAGAAACACAAUCAGGCAUGGAGGAAAUAUCUACUUACGGUAGAAUGGUACAGCGAUACAACAAGCUUAAGAUGCCAUCCAUAAACUAAUCAGAGUCAACUACCCUUUGGUUUGCAGGGGUACCAAUGGAAUGGCCAAGGAUACUGAACUACCCAAGCAGUUACAAACCUAAGUUGCACUAGAUGCUGAUUUGGUUGUAGACACCAGAAGGGUAUGAAGUGAAGUGCAACACUGAUGAGGCUAGCAAAGGCAAUCCAGGUCAAGGUCCUAUGGUUUCUCUCUAAGGAACAAUAUGGCUGAUCUUAUAUAUGCUCAAGCUGAGGACAUUGGGGUUGCAAUGAAUAUGGGUGAUCUUAUAUAUGCUCAAGCAGUGAUUAUGGCUAGCUUAGAGGCCAUAAUGUAUUGCUCUACACAUGGUGUAGGAUGUUCUCUUUGAAACUGACUCUCUGAGUUUAAAGAACAUAUUACAGGACGUAUGGAGAGUAACUUGGGGAAUUGCAGAACAGGUGGAGGAAGUAAAAGAAAUCAUGGCCACUCUCAGUGCACGAAUCAGACACGUUUAGAGGAGGAAACCAAUUGGCAGAUUUCCUAGCUAACACAACCAUCAAUCAACAAGGAAUACAACAUUAGCACACUUUUCAAGAUCUACCAACCAUAGUACUCAUGGAUGACCAGAGGGAGACUGAAGCAGUGGAGGAGCUCACAAGAGCCAUUUCUUUCAAACCUGACUUGCAAAUGCUUAAUCUUCGAGCAGCAUUCCAUGAGUCAAUGACUGAUUUCUCUCGUGC
Non-coding RNA from Solanum lycopersicum (tomato), 4500 nucleotides. Lineage: Eukaryota; Viridiplantae; Streptophyta; Magnoliopsida; Solanales; Solanaceae. The record is from RefSeq and is a predicted model, not a curated record.